GACGAACGCUGGCGGCGUGCUUAACACAUGCAAGUCGAACGAGAAGAGAUGAGAAGCUUGCUUCUUAUCAAUUCGAGUGGCAAACGGGUGAGUAACGCGUAAGCAACCUGCCCUUCAGAUGGGGACAACAGCUGGAAACGGCUGCUAAUACCGAAUGUUGUAUCUCCUCCGCAUGGAAGAGAUAUUAAAGAUGGCCUCUACUUGUAAGCUAUCGCUUUGCGAUGGGUCUGCGUCUGAUUAGCUAGUUGGUGGGCAACGGCCUACCAAGGCGACGAUCAGUAGCCGGUCUGAGAGGAUGAACGGCCACAUUGGAACUGAGACACGGUCCAGACUCCUACGGGAGCAGCAGUGGGAAUCUUCCGCAAUGGCGAAAGCCUGACGGAGCAACGCCGCGUGAGUGAAGAAGGUCUUCGGAUCGUAAAGCUCUGUUGUCGGGGACGAAUGUUGAGGCCUAGAACAUAGG
Molecule: ribosomal RNA, 463 nt
Filed under: uncultured bacterium
Lineage: Bacteria
Description: bacterial SSU rRNA
Rfam family: Bacterial small subunit ribosomal RNA
Source: RNAcentral